UACGAAGGGGGCGAGCGUUGUUCGGAUUUACUGGGCGUAAAGUGUGCGCAGGCGGCCGAGCAAGUCGAGUGUGAAAGCCCCGAGCUUAACUUGGGAACUGCGCUCGAAACUACUUGGCUAGAGUGUGGCAGAGGGAGGUGGAAUUCCACGUGUAGCGGUGAAAUGCGUAGAGAUGUGGAGGAACACCGAUGGCGAAGGCAGCCUCCUGGGCCAACACUGACGCUCAUGCACGAAAGCGUGGGGAGCAAACAGG
RNAcentral lists this ribosomal RNA (253 nucleotides) under uncultured bacterium. RNAcentral's name for it is "partial 16S ribosomal RNA". It matches the Rfam family "Bacterial small subunit ribosomal RNA", at positions 524 to 776 of the family's 1533-position model. The record is from RNAcentral.